AGCGAACGCUGGCGGCAGGCCUAACACAUGCAAGUCGAACGAACCUUUCGGGGUUAGUGGCGGACGGGUGAGUAACACGUGGGAACGUGCCUUUAGGUUCGGAAUAACUCAGGGAAACUUGUGCUAAUACCGAAUGUGCCCUUCUGGGGAAAGAUUUAUCGCCUUUAGAGCGGCCGGGGUAUGUUUAGCUAGUUGGGUGUGGGAAUGGCUCACCAAGGCGACGUUCAGUAGCUGGUCUGGGAGGAUGAUCAGCCACAUUGGUACUUAGACACGGCCCAAACUCCUACGGGAGGCAGCAGUGGGGAAUCUUGCGCAAUGGGCGAAAGCCUGACGCAGCCAUGCCGCGUGAAUGAUGAAGGUCUUAGGAUUGUAAAAUUCUUUCACCGGGGACGAUAAUGACGGUACCCGGAGAAGAAGCCCCGGCUAACUUCGUG
RNAcentral lists this ribosomal RNA (434 nucleotides) under uncultured bacterium. RNAcentral describes it as "partial 16S ribosomal RNA". It matches the Rfam family "Bacterial small subunit ribosomal RNA", at positions 29 to 507 of the family's 1533-position model. The record is from RNAcentral.